AUGAAACUUGUCUGACAUUUCUGAGAAAGACAACUGAGUUACAUGAAGGCAGGUGGAAUAAAUGGGCUGUCACACGCUGAAGAAUGAGCCUUCGAGACUAUUCACUAUACCUCAUGGAAACUUUGAAAUGCUGGAGUUCACUACAUGAAUACAUUGUUGUGUUUUUGUUCCUUACAACGAUCAGCAAAGGGUCAGCAUGUGAGGCUCCUUCCAGUCCUGAGUGCUUCAGAAGAAAAACUGAAGCGUUUGUUUACUGGUGUGAAUGGAGCAUGAUGAACACCACUGAGAGCAAUGUGACUUUCGAUCUUCACAUUAAUGAAAGAAAAUUUGGGAGCAUUAAGAAGACCUGGAUUCAGUUCGACAAGGAAGAGAUUAUUAAAAAUCGUAAUGUUCAUAUUUGGGUGGAAGCUCACGUAGGAAACUCCAGCUGCACAUCGACCAAGACGUCUGUUGUACUCGGGCACACGGUUAAGUAUGAAGCACCAAAAGAUAUUUCCAUGUCCUGGUUAAAAAACAACCUCAGCUUAAGCUGGGCAGCUGCAGAGAAGAAACAUCCAGCUUCAGCCGAAAUCCUGUUCCGCCGAGAUGCACGGCCCACAGAAUCAUGGGAAAAAAUAACAAAGAAUACCACCAGUGAAACUUCUAUAUACCAUGUCAUUGUUGAGAAUCUGUUGAAGGAUUCAGAUUACCAGGUUAAAAUCAGACAACGGUCCACUCAGGCCCCUAACCCACUGUGGAGCGACUGGUCUCCAGUGGUGAUUGUUCCUGCAGAGCUUGAACAAAAACCUGAAGUCACCAUGAUGCAAAGACUUUUAAAUGGGACUCGAGCAGUGACGCUAACGUGGAAGCCGAUGCCACAUGCAGUGACGUACAGUCUGAAUGACACACAGUCUUCUAGUGGGUGUCCUUGUAAGAAAAAGAGAGAUCUCAUCCACACGACUACAUACACUACUUAUGUCUCGUACUCUGCCGUCAGCAUCUCUGUUAUCGGCGCAAACGCAGCGGGGAAAUCUUCCCCAGCAAUCUUACAAGUACCGGCCGAACCUGCUGCAGACUUACAAAUUUGUGACAAAACGUUACUGGAUGAAGAUUUGGAUAAGAAAACUUGCCUUGAGUGGUACGAGCUUCAAGAUGGAGAUUCGAGGCCAGAAAACGUGAUGACCUUAACAUCAAGGAAGAGGAAAAGACAAAGGAAGCAUAUAGAAAUGAAUAUGAAAGACUACGUUCGCUACCUUUACUAUGAACACAGAUGUGAUGGUGGGAAACCAAAGACAGUUCAAAUGUGCCUCUUUUAUCAGAAAGAAGGUGUUCCACUCAAAGAACCUCAGGACUUCAUUGUUUUUAGUGAAACACACACUUCUGCUAACUUGUCUUGGAAAGCGAUUCCCUCUGUGGACCAGCAAGGUUUCCUCACACACUACAGCCUCUGCAGCGUGAACAUCAGCUCGCAGGAUGAGCCGAAAGAGUGCCAUAACAUAUCAGCCUCAGUGAUGAGAUAUCGCCUGGAAAACUUGACACCGGCAGCGAAAUACAACAUCAGCCUGGUUGGAGUGACACGAGUGGGGGAAGGACCUGCAGCCACAGUAACUAUCGAUGUGUUACCAGAGAAGCUUGGGAAUGUGUGGUGGAGUCUCAGCUUGCUGUUUCUGUUCUUUUUGCUCACAACAAUGUGCACCUGUAUCUUGAAGAGAAUCAAAAACAAGAUCUUCUCUCCAGUGCCGACACCUGUUAUUCCAGAUUUCAUCCCUUAUCAACCAGAGAGCCAGUGAUGGGAGUUUUUAUUCAACUUCUACCACAGCUCAUCCGAUUCCCCAGAUUUGAGCUGAUCCAGAAGAUUCCUGAGAACCAGUUCCCAACGACAUAAAAAAAAAAAAAUUAUUUACUUGGAGAAACAAAUCUCACAAAUGCCUUCACAAUGAAAAAAGUCUCUUUAAUAAUAAACAAAUGCAUCUUCACUUAUAAUAAAUUGCCUCUUUAAUAGUAAGGAAAUGUGUGUGAAGGGGGUUUGAUAAAAACAUAAAACAAUAACCUUAAACAAAAUAAAGCCUGCAGACUUUAGGUUAUCAUUAGGAAAGUAUAAAGUCUGGCACAAAUAGCAUUAAAUAUGCCCUGAUACAGAUAACGUAGUGGAAAGAUGUUUUGUAAUAUUCACUCCAGCUCAUUUCAGAAUUCUCAAAAUCACCCUCAAUCAGAGAAGUUAAGACAGCAGAGAAGCCUCAAUGGGGCUAAAGACCAGAGUUUCUGGCUGACAGUAUCUGCUGAAAAGUGGUUUGCAUUAAGUCAAGGAAGAAUCAGAACAUCCUGGAUGUGCAAUUCCCCACCACUUGUAUGCCCUAAAGAAAGAGCAUCAUCACCCUGAUUGGCCAAGAGGGGGAAUGCACCAAGCUGCUCUCAAUUCUUAAUCAGGAGCCGGUACUCUCACCAUGUGCAACAGGUGAUCUGAAUAACCAGCCAAACUGAGGGGAGUUGUGUGACAUUCAGCUAAAAAUGAAUUGGGGAAAGGGAAAUGACAACAGGUACCACAGAACGAGCAGAGACUUAAUAGAAAUGAAAGACAGCGAAAGGAAGAGCAAACAUCCUGAGUUAACACAUGAUGAGAAUGGGGCAGCAAAUCAGCUCAUGUGUUAAUAGGACAUUAGUAUACCUAUUAGCAUGCUAUAGUUGGGAGUGAGAAUGUGUUGGCUAAUGUGUGUGUGUGCUGGAUGUGUGGAGGCUUAAGUAGAAAAUUAAAAGACAGGUGAAGAGAGGCAGCUGGUGCGACUGGAUGUGUUGCACGUACAACAUUUCCAGGGGAGUAGAUGAAACGGAGGAAAGUCCCGUUGUAAGACGAUGUGAGAAAACCAACAAUUGAUUUAAUAGAAAGAAAGGAGGAGGUGCAUGAGCUGACGCUGCACCCGCUACAUCCAGAGGGCAAGUCUGUCCCUAAGGACGCAGAGGAGACCGCUGUCCUCGUAAGACAGUGGGAUGACUGCAUGGACGAGGACGUGGAGA
RNA transcript from Cottoperca gobio, 2991 nucleotides. It is a transcript of the gene named interleukin-12 receptor subunit beta-2-like, with no coding region annotated. Lineage: Eukaryota; Metazoa; Chordata; Actinopteri; Perciformes; Bovichtidae. The record is from RefSeq and is a predicted model, not a curated record. The transcript is spliced from 16 exons.